Enhydra lutris kenyoni (northern sea otter) is the source of this 2240-nucleotide long non-coding RNA. RefSeq lists it as uncharacterized. The transcript has 2 exons. The record is from RefSeq and is a predicted model, not a curated record. NCBI's taxonomy places the organism in Eukaryota, Metazoa, Chordata, Mammalia, Carnivora, Mustelidae.
GGGUAGAGGCUUUAAUCCACUGAGCCACCCAGGUGCCCUGUGCUCUUAGCCUUUCUUAAUAGCUUAAUAAACCAAAGAUGAAUGGAGAUCCAAUGAACGUGGGAAAUGCCACACUGGGUGAGCUCAGCGGUUCCCCCAGCUCAGAAUUUCUGGCACUGACAAAUGGCUGGUUGGAAGAAAGUUCCAUGAUCUCAGUCUAAAACUCUUGAGUUUCUGAAGAGCCCUGCUGUUUCUGUUCCAUUCCCCUGUGAAUCUGCCAUUUGUGAAUUUAAGCAGAAAAAGGGUGUACUUUCUUACCCUUACCCUUUUCUAUGCACUUUAACCAAAGUAGAACUCCCAAAUAAUAACUGAGGUCAUUAUUACGUCAUAAACGCAGUUACAAAUGCAGGCUUGUUAUAUAGUUGGGUGUUGACCAAAGUUUUGUGGAGGUUUUACCAACAGGUAAAGCAACAAGACUAGAAAUAGCUUUUACAGAGUGUUACGAUUCAUGAAAUCAUCCUGUGAUAGAAACGACUAAAAUUGCUCGUGAAAGAAUAAUUUACCCUUUUGCAAUUUAUAUUCACACUUAAACACCAUUCGAGAGGAAGGGUUUAUGACUCUGUGAAAGGUUAAAACUGUGCAGUUGUCCAGUCAAAUCUGAGUGCACAGUUGCAAAGGGACAACGCGAAAGCCGGCCAACAUACAUUCUGCCGCUACUGACUUCCUCUUACUGAAGCCGGCAGGCCAGCUCGACAGAGACCCGGGAGGCAUGCAGAGCCUGCCACCAGUAGGCUUCGGUCUCUGCUGACAGAGGGACUCGGAUCAUGGAGAUGAUGGCCAUUUCUCCCCAUCCUUAGCUUUUAGGAGUUGAGAGUUGAAGCGUUCCUGAAAAAGAACCAUCUGUUGAAGUGAUCUGGAAAAAGAACCAUCUAGAAGCAGAUGAAGCUACCAAAAAACUUACACUGCGGUGCCUUCCUACCUAGAAGAGCCCCCUGCCCCGCUCAGCUGUGAGUAUAUUGAAUUCGGGAUGCCCUCGGUAAAGCAUUUGAGGACCUCUGAGGAGACUUGGUCAUAGUGAAUGAUCUUAUUGUUGGCCUAUUUCUGGAUCAGUACCUUUGUACACGGAACAAGCUGCUUUUAGCUUUGUCCUAGUACCAAGGACGCUGCUACUGCCACAGCAUAAUCAUGUAGUUGUGAGUGACCUCAAGGGCAGAAUUUCCUGUUUUGACAAUGGAAAUUAGAACAAUGAACUUCACAGGGGAAUAAAUGUUAAUGAUUGCUGUGACUUCCAUUGAGGAAGAGGAAAAUAUGCCAUUGUAUUUCCUAGUAUGGCUUUUUCAUAAUCUGCUCUUAUAAUGUGAAUUUUGAGUUUAGGAAACGUGGAAAGCUGGUGUGUGGUGUGUUUGAUGCGGGUGCUUUUUAUGUGUUGUACUCCUUUGCCUCUUACAUUGUGGAAUUCGAGUGCAGCAGAGGAACAAAAGUCCUUUACUGGCAGCUUAAUUCCGUUGAAUGUACAACAUCUGGGGAGAUGUUUUGUUGUUCAUGUGUUUAGGGGACAAGUGUGAACAGUAAUCCAUUUAGAUGAGAGGAGCAUGUUCUCCUUGAUGAUCAGGGGAGAGAGACUGAGCCAGAGGUAUGAUAUAGGCUCAUCUUCUUGCAUCCAAGGAUGCUCUUUCUUUUUCUGCCAUCUUGAGGGUCUCCCCACAGGGUGGAGGGAAGCCUUCUCUGUCAGGGUCAGUGUGCAUGGUAGUGGUGGGGGUGCUGUUUUUCUUACCCCAACCUCUGAGUCACUUCUGUCAGCCCAGAAGUCACUAUAUUGUGAGAUGGGCUCCUUUAGCCUUGACUUUCAGGCACCACAGGACAUCCCUUCCACUGCCGUCCUCAUACUCCUUCCCACAGGCCCCGUGACCUAGAACACCCAUCCCAGCGCCCACCCACCUGUGAGGAUGUACUGUGUCUACCUCUGAAAUCUGUACGUAGUUUACCAGCGGUGCUGUUUGAACUUCAGAACGCCAGCAUUGACUGGGCACCUACAAGGUGCUGGGCCGGUGUGAGUCAUGAGGAAAUGAGGCACAGUUAGGUGACUGCUGUAAGUGACACACCUGAGUCUUGAAUGAACAGUGUGUCUUCAAAGCCUGGGCUCUUAACUUCUUAAUGCCUUAUGUAACAUAAUACUCUUCAAAGAAUGACGUUUUUGCCAAAUCUUGAAGUUUUCAUCCACCCCAAGCAGAUGAGUACAAAUAAAGAACCCUUUGAACAUG